AGAGUUUGAUUCUGGCUCAGGAUGAACGCUGGCGGCGUGCCUAACACAUGCAAGUCGAGCGAGAAAUACUUGAUUGAAACUUCGGUAGAUAGAUAGUAUGGAAAGCGGCGGACGGGUGAGUAACGCGUAGGCAACCUGCCCCUUACACAGGGAUAGCCAUUGGAAACGAUGAUUAAAACCUGAUGACACCGAGAGAUGACAUCUUCUUUCGGUCAAAGAUUUAUCGGUAAGGGAUGGGCCUGCGUCUGAUUAGAUAGUUGGUGAGGUAACGGCCCACCAAGUCAACGAUCAGUAGCCGACCUGAGAGGGUGAUCGGCCACAUUGGAACUGAGACACGGUCCAAACUCCUACGGGAGGCAGCAGUGGGGAAUAUUGCACAAUGGGGGAAACCCUGAAUGCAGCAACGCCGCGUGAAGGAUGAAGGUCUUCGGAUCGUAAACUUCUGUCCUAGAGGAAGAUAAUGACGGUACUCUUGGAGGAAGCCCCGGCUAACUACGUGCCAGCCGCCGC
This 510-nucleotide ribosomal RNA is filed under the name uncultured bacterium. RNAcentral's name for it is "bacterial SSU rRNA". It matches the Rfam family "Bacterial small subunit ribosomal RNA", at positions 8 to 518 of the family's 1533-position model. The record is from RNAcentral.